CGGUGACAUCAUCUUUGUUGAAACGCCGGACGGCGUGAUGAGUCCCAGAUGUUAAUGCACACUGAGAGUCGAGAAAGAAUAAAAUUCAAAGGUCGACACUAACAACUAUGGAGGGAUGCACUCACUUUACAUUCUGGGGUACAUGGAUGAAUACGUGUUUUUUUACAACGCAUCCUAAAGCUGUUAAACCUUAGAGGCCAUUUAAAAGAUGAGCAAGAACAAACAACGUGAUUAAAGGGUGCUGCCGAAAGCUGUACAGGUGUCAGCUGCCACCACUGCUCAUUACACAGAUGAAGCUGUCAACUUUUAAUUUAUAGACAAUUUGAGAAGGGGUACAUGAAGACUUGAAAAGAAGGCUUUUUUUUGCUAAAAGGAAAAAAAGAACUGUUAUUAAGAACCUCUGCUGAAAUGCACUGGUCAUCAACACAGGAUUCUGGAAGAUUCAGAGGGUGAGAGAAGACUGUUCAUACAGAAACUAGUUCCAAGGCUGGAAAAACCACAUGAUGAUGUGUUGAAUUGAUGUUGAUGAAGACUAUAUUUUGGAAACUUCAAUUAGAGCCAGAGAAUGUUUCCAGGGUGAAGCAGAGGAUGUGAGAUCAAAAUAGACACUGUCUUCUUGAGCUUUACUGACUGCAAAAACAGAAGAUAUUCUGCUGAGUGAUGUUUUUGUCCUGUCACGCCCUAAGCUUCCACAUCCCCCUGUUCAAACAAA
This is a long non-coding RNA of Lagopus muta (rock ptarmigan), 712 nucleotides long. RefSeq lists it as uncharacterized. NCBI's taxonomy places the organism in Eukaryota, Metazoa, Chordata, Aves, Galliformes, Phasianidae. The record is from RefSeq and is a predicted model, not a curated record. The transcript is spliced from 6 exons.